CGGGUAGCUCAGUUGGUAGAGCAGGAACCAUACGUUUCACAACUCCUUGUCGCCGUUUCCCCAAUCGUGAAUGCCACCGAAGAAUACACCUCAUCAGUGAGCGGCGAAAGCCGUGCGGGUUCGAGUCCCGCCGGGCCGC
RNAcentral lists this transfer RNA (139 nucleotides) under Neoluteolibacter luteus. RNAcentral describes it as "Luteolibacter sp. G-1-1-1 tRNA-OTHER". Lineage: Bacteria; Pseudomonadati; Verrucomicrobiota; Verrucomicrobiia; Verrucomicrobiales; Verrucomicrobiaceae. The record is from RNAcentral.